GUUUUAAUAAUUUAAUAAAAAUAUUGGUCUUGUAAACCAAAAAUAAGGAACCACCUUUUGAAACU
This 65-nucleotide transfer RNA is filed under the name Bulbitermes laticephalus. Its description in RNAcentral is "tRNA-Thr". It matches the Rfam family "tRNA". Rfam says of the family: Transfer RNA (tRNA) molecules are approximately 80 nucleotides in length. The record is from RNAcentral. RNAcentral also lists the same sequence under 1 other name. Lineage: Eukaryota; Metazoa; Arthropoda; Insecta; Blattodea; Termitidae.